RNAcentral lists this ribosomal RNA (892 nucleotides) under uncultured bacterium. RNAcentral's name for it is "bacterial SSU rRNA". It matches the Rfam family "Bacterial small subunit ribosomal RNA", at positions 8 to 916 of the family's 1533-position model. The record is from RNAcentral.
AGAGUUUGAUCCUGGCUCAGGAUGAACGCUGGCGGCGUGCUUAACACAUGCAAGUCGAACGAGGUCCAACCUUCGGGUGAAGACCGAGUGGCGAACGGGUGAGUAACACGUGGGGAACCUGCCCUUCUCUCUGGGAUAACGUCGAGAAAUCGGUGCUAAUACCGGAUACUCCUUGCGGAUCGCAUGGUCUGCUCGGGAAAGCUCCGGCGGAGAUGGAUGGCCCCGCGGCCCAUUAGCUAGUUGGUGAGGUAACGGCCCACCAAGGCGACGAUGGGUAGCCGAGCUGAGAGGCUGAUCGGCCACACUGGGACUGAGACACGGCCCAGACUCCUACGGGAGGCAGCAGUGGGGAAUUUUGCACAAUGGGCGAAAGCCUGAUGCAGCAACGCCGCGUGCGGGAUGAAGGCCCUCGGGUCGUAAACCGCUUUCAGCAGGGAUGAAAAUGACAGUACCUGCAGAAGAAGCCCCGGCUAAAUACGUGCCAGCAGCCGCGGUAAUACGUAUGGGGCAAGCGUUAUCCGGAUUUAUUGGGCGUAAAGCGCGCGUAGGCGGAUUGUUAAGUCGGAUGUGAAAACCGGGGGCUCAACCCGCGGCCUGCAUCUGAAACUGGCAGUCUUGAGUCUGGUAGAGGAAAGUGGAAUUCCUGGUGUAGCGGUGAAAUGCGCAGAUAUCAGGAGGAACACCAGUGGCGAAGGCGGCUUUCUGGGCCACGACUGACGCUGAGGCGCGAAAGCUAGGGGAGCAAACAGGAUUAGAUACCCUGGUAGUCCUAGCCGUAAACGAUGGGCACUAGGUGUGGGGGGUCAUCGACUCCCUCCGUGCCGAAGCUAACGCAUUAAGUGCCCCGCCUGGGGAGUACGGCCGCAAGGCUAAAACUCAAAGGAAUUGACGG